This 492-nucleotide ribosomal RNA is filed under the name uncultured bacterium. Its description in RNAcentral is "partial 16S ribosomal RNA". It matches the Rfam family "Bacterial small subunit ribosomal RNA", at positions 29 to 507 of the family's 1533-position model. The record is from RNAcentral.
AGUGAACGCUGGCGGUAGGCCUAACACAUGCAAGUCGAACGGCAGCACAGUAAGAGCUUGCUCUUACGGGUGGCGAGUGGCGUACGGGUGAGGAAUACAUCGGAAUCUACUUUUUCGUGGGGGUUAACGUAGGGAAACUUACGCCAAUACCGCAUACGACCUACGGGUGAAAGCAGUGGAUCUUCGCACCUUGCGCGAUUGAAUGAGCCGAUGUCGGAUUAGAUAGUUGGCGGGGUAAAGGCCCACCAAGGCGACGAUCCGUAGCUGGUCUGAGAGGAUGGUCGGCCACACUGGAGCUGAAACACGGUCCAGACUCCUACGGGAGGCAGCAGUGGGGAAUAGGGGGCAAUGGGCGCAAGCCUGAUCCAGCCAUACCGCGUGGGUGAAGAAAGCCUUCGGGUUGUAAAGCCCUUUUGUUGGGAAAGAAAAGCAGCAGGUUAAUACCACGCUGUUCUGACGGUACCCAAAGAAUAAGCACCGGCUAACUUCGUG